Molecule: long non-coding RNA, 36416 nt
Filed under: Eucalyptus grandis
Lineage: Eukaryota; Viridiplantae; Streptophyta; Magnoliopsida; Myrtales; Myrtaceae
Description: long non-coding RNA (EGRA_LNC004922)
Source: RNAcentral
UGACCCACAAGAAUGGCCGACCAGCCUCUACAAGCGCUCGUGCCAUUUCCUCCUUCUGUGGCUUCGAUAGCACGGAGAUGCUCCCAAACGACAGGUAGAUCACUGACGCCUUUGGCUUCGUGUCCAGCCACUCGAUGUAGCCGCUUGAGCUCUUGAAGAGAUCGCCUCCGAAAGAAGUGUCCGAUGGAUCUUGCCCGUCCAAAAAUGCGGACGGGAUCAGCGGCCCGAUCCCAAUCACCUUAAACUUAUCGAUAGCCCGUAUGGCGUCUGGCUCCAGCGCAUCGAAGGUGUUUGUCAGCACCCUUGGAUUGGCCUCCUCAAGUAGUAUCUCGAAAUGACGCUGGAAAAGGGGGAGGCUGAAGUUGUACUCAUUUUUAGAAUUGCAAAAUGAGGGUAUGUCGCUGGCCAUGAGAGGCGGCAACCCAGGCAAUUGGAUUGGCAGCGAAGGAUUGUCGCCCGUGCUUCGAAUAAGAUCCCCGUAGCCAUGGAAGUAAUAAUAGUAGAAGUCCAAAACAGUGGCCGGUUGAAUCCAAACAAGCGUCGAAGGAAUACCAUGAGAACGAGCGACAUCAGCAACCCACGGAAGGAGGGUGGUGUAGAAUACUCCCAAUAAUCGCCGACCGUUCUCAAGGUUCGAGGCGAUGAGAUCGCUUAAAGUCUCCGAUCCUCGUCGCUUGAGGUCGUCCAUGUAUACCUCGAGAUCUUGCCCUUCUUUGACACCUUCGUCGUAGCCAUCAGAGAAGCUGGCGAAGGAUAGCCCCUCGGGAGGAGAUUUCGACUCGGCCGUGCGGAGGUGGGCGCGAAUGGCAGUGACGAAGGUCACGUGAGCGCCAACACGCACCAGACGCUUGGCGAAUUGGAGGGACGGGUUUAUGUGGCCCUGGCCGGGGAAGGUCACGAGGAGGAAGUGUGGAGGUGCCAUGGACGAGGCUCGAAGAAAUUCUUUGGAAAUGGUAGGGACGCUGAGGCAGCACUCGACAGGAGAUGCGCUGUAAGUGGAUGGGAGAGGAUUAACGAGGAGAUUAAGGUGGAGACUGUCCGUUAUAAAUAAGGACGUCUCUGAAAUUAUUUACGUCUAGGCUGACGAAUGAGGGAUUUGCUUGACCCGUACAAAGUGGUAAAGUCUGGAUUGUCUUGCUCUCUCUCAGGGAGGAAAUAUUGCCUGCGUAUUUACUUAUGUUAUUGGGUAAGUGACGAGUUUUUGUUUGGUCGGCACGUGACGAGUUAAGAAGUCAAUUAUUACAGAUGUAUUUUUCAAAGAUGAAUUGCAACUCUUUUUUUUUUAACAUGAACAUGUUGAGGACCUUUAGAUAAUUUCUCUCGUCUCCACCGACUUCGCCACAUAAGAGACAUCUCUAGUUUUUUUUAUACAUCAGAACAGCAAAAUANNNNNNNNNNNNNNNNNNNNNNNNNNNNNNNNNNNNNNNNNNNNNNNNNNNNNNNNNNNNNNNNNNNNNNNNNNNNNNNNNNNNNNNNNNNNNNNNNNNNAAAAAUUUUUAAAACUCUUUGAUUUUUCUGGGACUAGAAUUCCCACACCCGAAACUCCUUUUCCCCAUUUGGCGCCCCUAUGGGGCGACCCCCGGGAAAUGUAAAAAAGAAAGCCCCCCCCCCCCCCCCCCCUCCUCUCCCAUGACCUAGCGAGCUACAUAUUGAUACUUGAUUUUUAACUGACGCAUCUUAUGAAGAUAAAAGCUUGAGAUUACAGUUUCUGAUUGCGAUAGAGCCCGUUCCUCGACUAAAAAAGAGUAAUUUAAUACUUUUUUACAUUAGCACUUCAUUUUCAUUUUAAUCUCAUAAAAUCAAAUAGACAGCUAUUUUUUUUUUUUUUUGGUUAAAGUAUGAACGAAAAGUCAACCCCAAGUUAAAAUUUGAUUUUUUGAAUGAAAAACCACAAGCUAAUGUAAAUUAUACUUCCAGUGUCAAUUUUCCCAAAAAAAAAAAAAUCAAAAUUUAACUCCUUAAUUGACAUUUUAAUGAAAAAUCACCAAAACGUUAACUUUUGCCCAAAAAUAUUGAAAAUUUUUCAAAUCUCUAAAUCUUCCUCAUUUUACCUUAAUUUGACAUAGGCAUUAUCAAUUUUACAAUAAUCGAUCAAGAACCAAAUUUUCCCUAAUUUGUGGAUUUUGGUUUGAAAUUGACCAAAAAACAAAUUAGUUCAUUUCUAGUUAUUUUUAGGAAAAUUUUCUUAGCGACAUUUGAUCAUGAGGCCGUCUCACAUCCAAUUUUCAAGCUAAUUUUGAAAUUCCAAAUCAAAGGUAAAAAUCCCCAAUUUUGUCUCUAAUCCAGUGGGUAAUUCAUGAAUUGCUCAUUUAAAUCAUGAACAAGUCCAUUUUCUUAGAGACUACUAAAAUCCAAUAUCAAUUUUGACAAAUUCACACGAAUUCAAUUUGAUUUGACCAAUUUGGUUAAUAUGAAGUUUAUAAAAUCAAGCUAAUUUGGUCUAAUUGGUGCAAUUCAACUUAACCCAUUCUAAGGUAUUGGUUACUUUGACCAAAUGGGGUUCAAUUUGACAAUUAAACUUCAAUUUCAUUUUGGGGUUUAAUUGUUGUCAUCAAAUAAGCACGUGUCUGAAAUUAUUACGUCUUGGCUGACGAAUGAGGGAAUUGCUUGACAUGCACGAGUGGUAUGGUCUUGAUUGUCUUGCUCUCUCUAGAAGACAUUUCAAACAAUUAAAAUGUGCGUAUUUACUUAUGUCAUUGGGUCACAUGACUAACUAAGAAAUCAAUUAUUAGGGCCAUGUAUUUUCAAACAUGAAUUGCAAUUUUUUUUUCUUUUAAACAUGAACAUGUUGAGGACUUAGAUAAUUUAUCUCGUCUCCACCCAAUUUCGCCAAAUACGAGACAUCUCUAGUUUUUUAUACGUUGGAUGAGCAAAAUAAUGGAGUAUACACAUUCAAACAAAUACAUCACAACGGCGCGUCUCCUGUACAAAAUUUGAAAACACUUUGAAUUUCACUCAAGCUGAAAAUCCUAAACCUUAAUCUCUCUUCUAUCUAUAUGGAGCUACUAUGGUGUGACCUUAACCUCUCUUCUAUUCAUGACCUAGCUAGCUAUAUAACCCAAUAGCAUCAUUGACUUCAAUCGGCUUCUGGUCCCAACUCACUAUGAGAACGUGUUGGACUAUACUAUUAGACAAAAAAAAAAAAAAAAAUCAUUUCAAUGCAUGUCCCAUAUAUCUAUUGAUCUAAUAAAAUGAAUUUGAUUGCAAUAUUUCAUGAAGAAAUGCAUUAUCUACUUCACCAUAUAAAAAAAGGGAAAAAUUGUGCAAAAACUUCAAACUUGUUGUACUUUUGUCAAUUUAUUUAUAAAUAUUUUAGUUUUACCAAUUAAGUCAUAAAUUUUUUCACAUUUUGUCAUUUGAGUUCAUAUGGUCAAUUUUAAUUGGAAAUUGCAUACGUGAAUGUCGGUAGUGUAAUGUAGGACACUCAGCACUAAUGUGGACAAUUCUUUUUAAAUUUUUUUUUAUCUUUUUUAUUUAUCUUUAUUUUUUCACCAAGUUUGACGAGGGCUAGCCGACCCUUGCGAACCAUAGGGGAGGGCUGGUAGCCCAUGUCAACCCCUAGGCGAGGGCAAUGAAGCCCUCGCUAGUUGUGGGCGAGGGACUUGGUCCUGCCCACAGCCAUGGCUAGUGAAGACUUCACGACCCUCCCAUAGUGGCUAGCAAGGUCAACCGGUCCUCAAUUGCAAUUGGCAAGGGUUGGUUAGCAACCCUCUUGCCAAGCUUGGGAAAAAAAAAAAGGAAAAGAAAGAAAGAAAAUAAAUGAAUAAAUAAGUAAAAAAAAUUAAAAUAUUAUUAAAAAUUAUUCAUACCAAUAUCAGUCAUGCUAUGUAAGACAGUUGGUAUCCACAAUGGUGAUGCUAAAUGGACUCAAUUAAUAGUACGUAAUAAGGUUUAUGACUCAAUUGACAAAUUAAUUUUUUUUAAAUUUAAUUGGUAAAAGUACAAUAACCUUAGGACUAUUUGGACAUAAUUGGCAGUACAUGACAAGCCUAAGUCUAUUAUUAAUCCUAAUGAAAACUACAUGAAAACCCCUUGGCAUUUCCCAAUCGGCUUGAGCGGGACUCCCACAACAUCUUGUUGAUGGGGAGUAUGAACUACACUCUCAACAAUUAGCACACACAAUCGUGUCAGUACGUCACUACUUUGAACAUGGACUAAAAUGAAAAAAAAAAUGGUCACGAGGUGAAUUUUACGGAUCUUUUCAGUGGGAUGGAAAUAUCUUUAGUAAGAAUACUUUUUGUAAUUGGUUAAAUUUUGAUUAGUUAUUACUCAAUCUCUUUCCGUUGUUAUUUUGUGUUUUUCUAUUAUUUGGCCAACGAUGUACUUUUCCUCCAUUUAAACGCCCCUACUUUGCAAAUCCCAUCAAGCAUACAAAUUGGCCCGUUUUCAGAAGAACAAUGAAUCUGGGACCGAUGCGUCAAAUUUUCUAGAGUGACAGAUUCGUUAUCUUCUCAUUUUUCCUAUAUACAUCGAUAUGCAUAUUCAAAUCAUUUCUCUUUCUUUCCUUAUAGUGCAAUCAGGGCCUUUCAUCGAUUAUGUUGAUGUGGCAUGCUGAAUAUUUGACAUUACAUCAUAUAAAUACUUUUCGGUGUAUGUGGCGCCAACGUGAUGCCAGAUAUCUAACAAUUUUACAUGUGUUUAUUCUAUUUUUAUUUUAUUUUCCACGAAACAAACAUAGACAUAGUGAAGAUAACCUCAAUUGACAUAUAUGCAAAAGAUACUCAUAGUAAUGAUAGAAAGAAGAGCAAACACACGUAAAAUAAUAUCUAUCAACAUAUGUGCACACGACACAUGGGUCACAUAAUAGUUGUGUUAAAAUUUCCGUUGGAUUUUGGAUUUUAAACCCACUAAUCUUAUUGAACACAUUAAGUUAAAAAAGAUUGGGUAAAUUCACUAACUUGAGACUGUCAACUCAAUUUGUUAUGUAUGGUGAUAUGCAGAAUUUACAUUUGUAUAGGUGAAAAGUGGGAGGGAAAUUUGCUUGCUGAUGAAGAUAGAGUAGUAGUUUAUAGUUCUUUGAUACUUUGAUGCAUGAUAACGAUCAUAUCCCUAUUAUUGCUGUUGCCGAGUUUAUAACAAAUAUAGAUGUACACCAAAUUUAUAUAGAAAAGUGUUUAGCAAUUACCCAAUUUGUCUCUAAGAAUUUCAUCAAGAAUGUGUUAUCAAAGUUGUAAGUAAAAAGAGAAAAAGAAAGGAUUGUUGUUGUUAUAAAUAAUUGUGAUGAACAGUAUAUGAUUUGGUCAUACUUACAAACAACUAAUUAACACAUCUUUUGGGAAUAUAUACCUUAUCUCCUCAUCACCACUUUUCAUGUUAACAAUCACUUCUUUUCAUAUCCAAGAGUCGCAUUUUUUCAUGAUAAUGAAUCAUUUCAAUAAAAAGAUUGAACACCACAUCAAUAAGUGGAAAGACAAAGAACCAUUAUUGUAAGUGGUGCGCUCGCAGUGGAAAGUGUUGUUAGAAAAAGAUACUUAAUCACUAAUCAAACGGCAUUAAUAUCAAUUAGGUUUUUGUUUGAUGGGUUACAUGUCAGAAACAACACCCGAAUCCACCUCCCGUUCAUGCCCAUGUCAUCUGGGCUUUAGCGUCCGACCUUGCACCAAACCUAACGUUACCAUAUCAUUAGGAUCUAUCGCACUAAUUUGGUUGGGCCACAGUCAGUCUUAUAUUGGGUCGGACUAACUUUUCGUGCUCAGAGAACCCUGGCCAAUAAAAUCUUCACCACACUUACAUUUUCACCUAAGCCCAACCCACCGGGUCUGUUAACACCUUUACAAACACUAGUUCCUCGACCAUUGCCAGUCGAUCCUGAUAGUCGCGAUCAGUCCUCAAUUAUUGUCGAUCGAUCUCAAUGAUCAUUGAUCUAAAUGAUGAGGCUAGUACAUACACUUUAACAGAGACUUGACACAAAUAUGUUCAGUGGAUCCCUACACCUCCUUUUUAAUGCAAUUGCUCAUUGCCGUAACCGGGAGUUACACCACAUUAACUAUAAAGGCAAAAACAUUCUCACUUCAAUCCUGCCAUGAAAAGCCUAAGAUUGUCGUCUGAAGAUCCGCUUUCCUUGACCGCUCGCCUCGCCAAAGCUUUCCAUUUUGAGGCACUCUCACGCAUGCCUUCCUCGUGUGUCGGCCCCAUGACCAAGUCCAAGCACCUCUUCAUUUCUUCUCUUCCCACAACGCCUUCGCCGUCCGCCCUUGCCUUUACGCCUACCCCCCAUACGUCCUGGAUCAACUUGGCGUUCGUCAGCUGAUCCGAAAAUUGCGGACACGCAACCAUCGGCACGCCUGCUGUCAAGCUCUCGAGGGUCGAGUUCCACCCACAGUGCGUCACAUGGCAUCCUAUUGACUUAUGGUUCAAGACCUCCACCUGCAGACACCACGGUACUAUCAAUCCGGAAUCUCCAUCGAUUCUUCCCUUUAUCAUCGUGUCGAUUUCUUCUUGUUCACUGGUAUUGGAAGGCCGGAUCACCCACAAGAAUGGUUGGCCACUCUCGCGAAGUCCUUGGCAUAGCUCCUCCAUCUGAUUUUUCUUCAACACGGCCAAGCUCCCGAACGAUACGUAAAUCACUGAAGAUGCAGGCUUUGAGUCGAGCCACUGCAGAUAAUCCGUCGAGCAGUCGAAGAGGUCACAGCCGAAGGAAUUGUCUAACGGACGAUCUUUAUUAUCCAAAUAAGCUAGCGGGAUCAGAGGCCCAAUCGCGAAUAGCUUCAUGUUCUCCAUGCCUGCUUUGAUCAGAUCUUCUUCCAGCGCGUCGAAGGUGUUCAAGAGAACACAUGGGUUGGUUUCUUUUUCGAGUGUUAGGAUGUGUUCUUGAAAGGUCGGUACAAUGGGGAAAUUUGGAUCGGUAGGUAAGAGAAAUGAAGGCAAGUCCUCCGGUGUCAAAGGAGGCAAACCAGGCAAUGAGAUUGUAGUAGGAGGCUCAUUUUUACUACUUUGAUAGAAACCACUUCGACUGUUGAAGUAGUGGUGAUAUAUAGCAAAGACGGCAGCCGAUUGAAUAGAAAGAAAAGCGGAAGGAACGCCGAGAUCUCGAGCCACAUCGGCCGCCCACGGGAGCAGGACGGUGUAGAUCAAGAAAGUGACUGGUCGAUCCUUCUCAGAUAAGCUAACGAUCAGUUCUCUUAAGUUUCGGGAACCUACCCGCUUUAUUUCAGAAAUCCUGUCUUCGUAGGAGGAGGGUUCGCCAGCAUCGUCGUCGGUGACGGAGAAGGAGGUGUGCGAUAAGCCUUCCAUCGAAAUAGGGGUCUUGAUGGUCCUUACGUUUCGGCCAUCGACCGCGUUGGCGUAGGUGACCUGCGCGCCGGCCCAUACCAGUCGCUUGGCGAGUUGUAUGGUAGGAUUAAGAUGACCCUGACCACGGAAGGAGAUGAUGAGGAAGUGCUGGUGGUUCAUCUCUCUCUCUCUCUCUCUCUCUCUCUCUCUCUCUGUGGUGAGAUAGAUGUUGCAUUAUGGCAAUGGAAGGUUUUUUUUAUAUAUUUGAAACAUGGGCAUAAUGUCAAACGAACAUAUCCAUUUGGAUGACUUUAGUGAAAUCAGAUCGAACCCGCUACUUUUUUUUUUUUUUAAUAAUAAAUCUACACGUGGGCCAACCAGUGAUUUUCAUGUGAAAGAUUGGACUUCUGUCUCUCUUGUCAUUGAGCAAAAGUGUUUAGAGUCAGAAGUGGUAGCUUAUCCAUGGCACAUUGGCACCCGGGAUGACCUAGCCCAAGCUAGGCCCGUGGCCCACCGUGAUGAUAGUCGAGUAGGUUCCGCCCAGUCCGAUCCAUGGCAGGCCGCCGGCGACGGACUCGUAAUUCUAUGUUUGGAUGCUGGAUGGAGAGUAAGGUGAUGGAUGAGUUUGGCUUUUUAUAAGUUUAGCCGAAAUGUCUAUUAUCGUCUUGCAAGAAAGCGUUUGAUGAAACCAUCUCUCUAAACUUAAUGUUUGUUCACCAGUGUCUACAAUCAACACACUCAUUACGAAGAGACUGCUUGAUACAAAAAGAACAAAAGAGCAUUAGACAUAUUGAACUUAUAUUGAGCUCUCGUUUCCUCAUUUCAAAGUCGACGUCGGCAAAAGAAGAAUUGUAAUGCUUGUUAGUAUCAGGAGCGGGAGCUUGUGGAGCAAGAAUCCAACGGUACCUUGAGUGUUAAAGUCAUUCUUAAGGAUACAAGUCGCAUUUUUAUAAUUUUAUUCGUUGAAAUCUACACAUUGACAGCUAAUUCAUAACUUUAACCAAUCAAUGUUUAAUCAUUAACCAAACUCAUUUGUGAAGUAAUGAGUCUAACAUUUACAAUAUAUAAAUAUUUAAAUUUAUUUAUCCCAACAAGGAUGACUGCACACACCUAAUUCUUGACCAACUGUCGAUUAUUAAGUCACACUCAUUAAAAUUUUGACAGGCUUGCUCUAGAAGAGCUUUCCUACAAGACCCAAUAUGAUCAAAUUGGAUGCUGGAAUUGCAGAAUAUUGUGAUUUUUAAUCACGACUAUCUAAUCUGGAUGGGGUUAGAAAUACACAAUUUUUGCAAAUUGCUUGAUAAGAUGAUGUAAAUUUCAUUGUGAGCUUUCUAACGUUUUAAGAAUCACUUCCAUUGGAGUUUCUCUUCACAAAACUAACAAAGUAGUCAAUUUAUUUAGAAAAUCAUUCUUUACUACACGUGUUCGUGGUUUGAAGUAACAAAGAUGCACAUACAAACUGAGUGAUCGACAGAGAAUUAUUGAUAGUACAUCUCGUAGAAAUUAGUUACUGGGUAUCUCAUUAUUAUUAUUUUCAUUUAUGAAUCUUCAAGUGAAUUUUUUCUUUUUUUUGAUAAAUCAGGGAACCCGCGCACCGUACCAACACGGACAGUCCGACAGGCUCAGGAUAACGGGAGGUAAACCCUGGGGCGAUGCUAGCAGAGGACCCACCACCCUGACGUCGCACUUAAGAUCCCGUGUGCCAGCGGGAUUUGAACUCCUCCCUUUUCACAAAGGUUCAUGGGAGCACUUAUUCAACUGGGUCAUCACAGGUGGUGGUUAUCUUCAAGUGAAUUUUUAACUUGUUAAGGAUCCAUAAUUGUACAUUGCCAAAAUUUAUAAUUAAAAAAAAGGUUGUCCGUAUGACGUGUUAAAGUUGGGAUUCUCCAUCAACCAGGGUAAUAGGGUACAAUCUUAGCGCACUCGACCAAGAAGAACACGGAUGACGUGCCAAUACUUUUUAUCAUUUACCGAAGAAGAAGACAGUUCUCACUUGCCUACUGGUAGGAUUUUGAACGAGUGGCUCAGUCAACCAUCUGCCAUUGACUGGUGGAUGAGCCCUUCGCCCGGCAAAUCUGGGAUUAGUUAAAUCAUUGCAGCAAGUUUUUGGAAGAUUCUUUUGCAUUAACGGAAUCUAAUGAAUUAGCUGCGGCUUUGGCACAUGAAGUUGUUAUAACAUGGGGUAAAUAGGUGAGCUGUAAGUGUGAUUUACAUGAGAAAAAUUAGAAUAGUACAAGUGAAGUAAGGAAAACUAAAUUGCUAAAUUGUCAAAAAUAUUUAUAAUUGAAUCGAUAUCAUUGAAAAAUUUACAUUUAAAUUGAUUAAUCAUUAAAAGGUUUAUAAUUAAAUUUGCGCAAUUGAAAUGUUUAAAAUUGAAUUAAUUGCCCUACAUUUAGUUUGGGAAAUGAUUUUUCCUUAGUUUUUUUGUUUGAUGAUUAUUAGCGUUAGACUCCAUUCUGGACAACUUCUUCAAAGCUUUUCUUUACUGGUGAGAAUUUUGGCAUGACUAUCAACCUGUGCACCACAAUCUUGGUGUCUAAUCUGGGCAUAUCUUCAUUUUGAACAGAAAAAGACAUCUUGAUAUUUUUUGAGGAAUUUGAUCAUAACCUUGUUUGGUGAAGAGCUUCAUCCUGCCCUUGUCACCCUUGAUGGUUUGGCUCGGUCCCUAUAGGUCUUAGUAUGUUGAAUGUUUGGUAAAUAUCUAGUUUGGAACCUCUCAACUUCCUCAAGAAUUUCAGUAGGUGGUCCAUUAGCUCCUUUGUUCUUGUCAACCUCAAUUCUCAUUGCAUAUUCAUAGAUAUAAAAAAAAAAAAAAAAAGUAACUACAUAAAUUGUUAGGUUGGUCUCGAUUAUCAUAAAGAAUUAUUCUAAUUGUCUCUAAUACUAGUCAUACAUCUUUUAUGACCUCCGCAAUUAGAAUAUUUCAACCCUCUCAAUCAUUUGGACCCAAAAAAAUAAAAAAUAAAAAAUAAAAACUCCCAAUUUUGAAUCGUAUGUACACAGAAGGGUAUAUUUCCGCGGCCCACACAACCUAAUGCCAAGCUCUAUGGACCACCAUGCCCGUUUUUUUGUUCCUUGACGGUCGGCCUUUUGUUUACCCCGACGAUCUCCUCACCCUCGCCGGCACCCCCUGUGAUUUGACCUGCUUGUGACCUCCUGCCAAGCGCGCGAGUGAAGGCACGAGUGCUUUAACAUACGCGGUAAACACCAGCCCCCAUUGAAACCACCACCACUUGUUUCCGGUCAAAGUUCGAGACGGAAGAAGAUAUGACCAUUGAGUAUUUCAUAUCUCAUUACCAGUGUGGACUAUUGUAAAGAUUCUAAGACAUGUAGUUCUUCUGCCGCUGAGAAAUGUUUUUACCAUCAGCUGUAGGUCGAACCAUCGAGAUUCAAGACCAAGCAACAAGAUUCAAGACCUAGCAACAUAAGCGUCAUAUAUGACGGGCUGAAAUAGGAGGAAUGGAAAAUAAGAAAAGAAAAAAUGUCACCUAGAAAGGACAAUAAUUUGUCCUGAACAAUAAGCGACGACUGCAUGCCCACAGGAAGGAUUACAUAAAAGCCAUAUAAAAUAUGCAUUCGCUAAAAGUCCCUAAAGAUGAGGACAGGAAAGCACCACGUUAGCUGCUCACAGCGACACCAUAGACGAUUCAUUCGAGCUCAGAUGCUUCUCUGACCUCGUCCACGAAGGCCCUGAGGUUCUUGUCCGAUGACCCGCCUUCCUUCACGGCCUCCCUCGCCAGAUCCCUAAACUUCCGGGCAUUCCUUCUCAUCUCCUCCCCCUCCUUUCCAUCUCCCAUCACCAGCUCCAAGCACCUCCUCAUCUCGCCGCUCUCCACCAGGCCUUGCUCGUUGGGCGUUAUCCUCACCCCGGUCCUCCACACGUCCGCCACGAGCUUCGCGUUCGUUUGCUGAUCGCUCCACUGCGGGAACGCCACCAUGGGUACCCCGCAGACCAAGCUCUCUGACGUGGAGUUCCACCCGCAGUGUGUCACGAAACACGCCACUGAAGGGUGAGAGAGAACCUCCACUUGCGAGCACCACGGCACUAUCAUCCCUAUCUUAUCUAGUUCUUCUUUGAAGCUCAAUCUAUCCUCGUCUCUCUCUUCUUUCCCGCUUUCCCGGAUGACCCACAAGAACGGCCGGCCAGCCUCUACAAGCGCCCGUGCCAUUUCCUCCUUCUGUGGCUUCGAUAGCACGGAGAUGCUCCCAAACGACACGUAGAUCACCGACGCCUUUGGCUUCGUGUCCAGCCACUCCAUGUAGCCGCUCGAGCUCUUGAAGAGAUCGCCUCCGAAGGAAGUGUCUGAUGGAUCUUGGCCGUCCAAAAACGCGGACGGGAUCAGCGGCCCGAUCCCAAUCACCUCGAACUCAUUGAUAGCCCGUAUGGCAUCCGGUUCCAGCGCAUCGAAGGUGUUUGCCAGAAUCCUUGGCUUGGCCUCCUCAAGUAGUAUCUUGAAAUGCCAUUGGAAAAGCGGGAGACUGAAGUUGUACUCAUUUUUAGAAUUAAAAAAGGAGGGUAUGUCGCAGGCCAUGAGAGGCGGCAACCCUGGCAAUUGGAUUGGCACCGAAGGAUUGCCGCCCGUGCUUCGAAUAAGAUCGCCGUAGCCAUGGAAGUAAUAAUAGUAGAAGUCCAAAACAGUGGCCGGUUGAAUCCAAACGAAUGUCGAAGGAAUGCCAUGAGAACGAGCGACCUCGGCAGCCCACGGAAGGAGGAUAGUGUAGAGUACACCUGAGAAUCGCCGACCGCUCUUAAGGUUCGAGGCGAUGAGGUCACUUAAAGUCUCUGUUCCUCGUCGCUUGAUCUUGUCCAUGUAUUCCUCCAUUUCAUCCCAAUUGUCGAAACCGUCGUCGUAGCCAUCAGAGAAGCUGGCGAAGGAUAGCCCCUCGGGGAUAGAUUCCGACUCAGCCAUGCGGGGACGGGCACGAAUGGCAGUGGCGAAGGUCACGUGGGCGCCGACACGCACGAGACGCUUGGCGAAUUGGAGGGAAGGGUUUAUGUGGCCUUGGCCAGGGAAGGUCACGAGGAGGAAGUGUGGAGGUGCCAUGGACGAGGCUUGAAGAAAUUAUUUCGAAAUAGCGAUGACGCUAAGGCAACACUCGACAGGAGGUAUGGGGUAUAUGGAUGCGGGACAUUUAGCGAGUAGAUUGAGGUGGAGACUGUCCGUUAUAAAUAAGGAUGUGUCUGAAAUGAUUACGUCUUGGCUGACGAACGACGAACACCCAGUGCCGCAUGGGCCAAUAUUAAAUUGUUUGAGAAAAGUUGGCGUUCUUGGGACUAGAAGUCCAAGACAGAUGAUCAACUUUCUCUUAAGGUCAGGGCUACUAAAAAAUUUUCUUCCACAACUAUUCUUAUUAACUUUUUAUUUUCCCGAUUUUGCCUUAUCAUUUGACUGUUCAUCUUCUUUUCCAUUGAGAUUAGCUGGCGUGUUGCACAAGACUACAAGGGGCUGAUGAUAGGCUAGAUAAAAUAGCAAAUUACGAAGGCCAGCAUGCAUCCUUCCUUUCUCUAAGUGAUAUUUAAAACAAUAAAAAGCCGUGUACUUACUACUUCAUCGCAUCGCAUGAUGAAUUACGAAGUCAAUCACGAGGGUUUAGAUAUAUUCCAAAGAUGAAUGGCGAUUUAUUCAAACCUCAACAUGGUGAAGGAAAAAGAUAAUUUAUCUUUAGUCUCCACCUGAUUAUGCCACUUAUGAGACAUCUCCGCCAGGCAAAAUAACAAAGCAUACACAUUCAAACACAUCGCCAGAUUGGGUAGGAAAAGAAAAAAGGAAAAAAAAAAAGAAAGAAAGAAAUAUAUAAAAAAAUGAUUUUUUCUUAAAUUUUUAAAAAUAUUCAUGUCAGCACUAGUCAUCCAACAUAGCACAUUGGUAUCUACGUUAGUGAUUUUUUGCUCAAAUUAGCUAGAUGCAAUCAAAUAGCAAAACAUAAAAAAGUUUAGGAUUAAGUUAGUACAAGUGUUGUGAUAUCCUCAAUUUCAAGUUAUGUUUUCAAUUGAAUAAGUUGGGCUUUUCAUUGACGUACCUAUAGUUUUAUUCUCUAAGUUGACCACUCGCGAGAUAACUAGCCUAUCAAGUGAAGCCGUUAAGGAAUCUAAAUGCAAUAGACUUGAGAACUCGACUAGGAAUCGACUGCUUUACCGUGCUAAUUUGCAAGGGUCAUUACAGCACUGUCAAAAUUGAUCAGAGAUCAGAGAUAGAUUGAUUCGAUAGAGGUAUGUGAUUAGUCACCUAAUUGCAAAAUUUAUGUCGAACGGUACUAGACCGAUUUUUCUAAUCAUUUAUGUAUCCUACAUUCGUAUUUGAAACCUCAAGAUUUUUACAACAAUCGAUAGUCGCUAAUGUAUUGAAGAUAUACAAUGUGGCUCGAAAAUAAUCGACCAUGGGUCAAUUACACUAAAAAUUUCUAAAAACUACCUGAUAGGUUAGGUUAUGCUAACAUUGCGCCACAUUGAAAUUAACCGCGAAUUUAAACCCGAUUUCAGGUUAUGUCGUGUCAGGAUUCAUUUUAGGAGCAUCGACUCACCUUCCAAAUAUUUUUCUGCAAACCAAGGUUUUUGGCGAAAAUUCAAAGUAGGGCUGUUUUUGACCGGAAAUUCUGAUGAUCGUUUUUUAUCGCAUUUUUGGGAUUCAAGUUGGAUAAAUUGAUAAGAAAAAAUGUGAAUUUAAGUGUGGGCAUCUUGGUUGAAUUUAUAAGGACCAAAUUGAACUCAAUUGGAGGGGAAUAGAAGGAGAAUUGAACCAAAUUAGAUGGCCAAUGUACAAAAUUCGUUAGGCCAUGGGGGACUCAACAUUUUGGACCACUUGGAGGCUCGUUGAGGAAGCUUUGGCAGCUGCAAAAUGGCUGAGGAAGACAGCCAAGUUGGUAGGGCCAAGCACUUGAGAGCCUAAGAUAUUUUUGGUGGCCCCCUCCAUCUUCAGCAGCCUUCUUCUUCUUCUUCCCUCAGUUGCUUUCUCCAUUUGUGUACUGUUGAGAGCUUGAGGGAAACUAGAAAACCCAACCAACCAAGCCUCUAAGCCGUCCAAGCAAGUCGCGUGCUCGCAUGCUAGCCGCAAGCCCAGCCAUGUGUCCUUGCCGUCCCGCCUCCAGCUUGAGACCUGCUGCUAUCCCGAGCCAUCCUGGCCGCUGUCAAAACCUCUUGUCGUUGUUUCAAUCGCUGUUAGCCUUCGACGUUGCCCGCCUAAGUUGCUGCAGUCAUCGUCAUCCAUCUUGUGUUGUUUCAGCCCUUUCGACUGGUCCCUGCAGCCAAGAGCAGAAGCGAAAGUUCCAACAAGAGCUAAGACUUCUAGGCCCGUUUUAGGUCCCUUCUAGGCCUUCUUUGGUGUUGCCACUAGGAGGUUUGUUGCCCGUCUUUGCGUCACCGUUGCCAUGGACUCACUGGCUCACUAAUCCAGUAAGUUUACUCGCUAAACUCUGCUGAAGGAGUUAAUUAUGCUUAAAGGGUAUUUAGUUUAAGUUAAUUAGGGUUAGAUGGUUAGUUAGAUUAGAUUAGUGAUUUAAUUAUUCCAUUAUGCAUGUUGGGUGGUUAGAUUAGAUUAAUUAGGGACUAGAUAGGAUGUACUAUUUAUCUAGAUAGGUUCAUAAAUUUUCUCGACCGUUAGUAGUAUAGCAUUCGCUAGUAGUGUUUUUGUAUUGAAUUAUUUAAUUAAUUUUGGUAAUUAUUAAUAUUUUUGAAAACUAUACCGAGAUAGCCGGUGAUCAGAAUUUCAUAAUGAUUGCAAUGGUAUGCUUGGUUUAUUUAAUUGAGUGCUAAAUUGUGCAAAUUAAGUAGUGAUUGAAAUUUUGAGUAUUUAAUUCGAAAUUUGGAAGUUUCGGUAAUUAUUUAGAAAUUACUGAGCGUCGGAUUUUGACAUCGAAAAUGGUUUUAAAUACAAUAUCAAAUAGUGGGAUUUGAAAAUGAAGGGUAUCGGUUUUUCUGGUUCAAAUUGACUGUGUACCCACACACGAUUAUUUUAUCAUGUAUUUUUAAUAUGAAGAAAAUAUGCCAAGUUCACCAUUUUAAUUGAGGCAUUUAAGUGAAAUGCACGAUAUCUUGGGUCGAGCUUGAAUGGUCUUGUGUUGGUUAAGAGCACCCGUCUCGAGCUGUUGAGCUAGACGUGCCCCUAUAUGGGAUGCCCUACCAAUGGAUGCCGAUCACAGUAGAUUAUGGACUGAUACUUCUUUAUGGAAUGCUGUUGACGUAGUAACGUUACCGUGCUCGAUGGGGCGAGAUGACGCUUGGCUAUGCUAGAAGACUGCCGAACUUCGAGUAGGUCAUGCUCGUGUGUGGCCGUGAUUAACAAUUGGAACGCAUGCUGAGUGAAAUUGACGCGUCGGAUUAUGGGACAAAAUUGUGUGGCACAAAAUGAGACAUGUCAUAACGAUUUAAUCUUAUAAUCGGGAACCCUUGUGUUGUUGAGAUGAAAGUGUUGGUGGUCCAAUUGUUUAAGCAUGAAUACUAUUUAUGUUUGUAAUAUAAAUUGUGCUGACAUGUAGAAAGGAUCUGAGACGAGGUAAGUUUUUGUGAUUGUGUGGUUGUGUGGUUAGGAUGCCUUUAGGUGUAUUACCCUUCUAAUCGGGAUUUAGAGUGUGAAUUCGUUGAAAUUUAUAUCUCACCCUGUCAUAGGCUCAAUUCUUUUCAACAUCGUAGAGUGGAGGACCCAGAGUCGAGGACUGGAGAGCUUGGAGUUUAAAGUCUUCGUAGUCCCUAUUUGUUCUAGACUUCUGGACAUAGAUCUUUUGUAGUCUUUUGUAUAUGACUCGGUGUGUAUAUAAAAGUGUCACGCCUCGAUCCUCUAAGCACGUGUAGUCGAUUAAAUAGCGACGUCCCAAGAUGCAUCGCCGACCCAUUCAUUUUAUAUGCACACGCGGAAGCAAAUAAAUAAUCCCCAUACAAUAACAUAAUGGGAUAAGAAAGUAGGGCUAUAAUUUUGAAAACCAACAUCACACUUAUAUAUACACAUUGGAGCCUCGUCCUCGUCUCCAUCAUCAUUGACACUCUAAUUGGAGCCUUCAGCAGAAAACACUAGACUUCCGGGAUCUUUAAAAUCCGAGUCUACUACGUCUACGACCAAGCCUUGAGGAGGAUUUGCUGUGCGCUUUCCAAAAGCAAUAUCCAGCACAUACAGAGGUAUCUCAGAUUUUGGUAUGGAACCCUCUCUUUGGCCAUCCUGAGUCUGGUGAUACCAUGAUUUGUAUUGGUAGGGCACCUUGUGGGUGAGACCCGCAUCGACCAAAACUAUGGACCUUACCAAUUCAUAGGUCUAGCCCCUAGGGCUCUCAUGCAACGGAAUGUAAGAUGUGUGACAUCUUGAAUUUCAAGUUCUGAUUUCGAUCGAAAUAGUUGGGCAUUUCAUUGACGCACUUAUAGUUCUUUUCCCUAAACUGAUCGCUUCAUGGGAUUACUAGUUUAUCAGGUGAAGCCGUUAAGGGAUUCUAACGCAUUAGACUUGAGAAUUCGACUAGGAAACGACUGCUCGAUCGUGCAAAUCUGUAAGAGAUCAUAAUGACACAGUAAGAUUGAUUAGAAAUCGAAAAUAGGUCGACUUGAUAAAGGUAUGUGAUUAAGUGUAGGCGAUUCCACCUAAUUGCACACUUUUUGUCGAUUGGCGUUAGACCGAUUCUUCUGUCGUUUUGAUACCCUGUGUCCGUAUUUGAAACAUUGAGAUUUCUACGAUAACCGAGAGUCGCCAAUGUGUCGAAGAUGUAUUUUGUAGCUUGAAAAUAAUCAAUCAUAGGUCAAAUAUACUAAAAUUCCUAAAAGCUAUCCGAUAGAUUAGGACGCGUUAAAUUCGCGCCGAAUUGAAAUUAACUGUGAAAUUGAAAUCGAAUUCAGAAAUUGGAAGUCCUAUUAUGUCACAAAUCAUUUUAGGAAUGUGAAUUCAUCUUCAAAAGAUUUUUCAUGCAAAACGAGUUUUUUCGAAAUAUAAUCAAAGUAUGAUUAAUUUGGUUCGGGAAAAAUUAGUAAGCCCGCUUUUGGUCGUACUUUUGGGCUUCAAGAUAGUUCUCUGGUCAAGUAAAGAUGUUGAUUAAAGUGUGGUGACAUUGGAUUAAUUUUAUGGAUUUCAAUUUAACUCAAUUCGAAGGAAAUUAAAGUAAUGUGAUGUACAAGAUUUGCAAGAUUCGUAUGCCACGGCGGAGGAAGAAAUUUGACCCAUUGAAGAUAGUUAUGGAGGAUUUGAGUUAGUGGAAGAUGACCUCAUGUAAUGUCAUGGUGGUUCGGACCAAAGUGAAGAGGAUUUUGACAAGUAUAGAGUGUUGAUUUGCUUUAAAAAAGGUGGGCUAUCAACAUCAUCUUCCUCCUUGAAUCAAGAGAGUCUUGGAACUUGGAAUGGAGGGAGGGGCAUCAUGCGAACUAGGGAGCUUCGGCUAUGCCUUCGUCCGCCUGACUGACCGUUGCCAGCAUCGCUGGAGCUGUCGUCGUUGUCGUCGUUCGCACGCUCACUUGCCGGCUAGCUCGCCACUCUGCUCGGCCUUCAUCCGCGUGCCAACCAGCCGUCAUCCAAGCCAUCCCAGCAGCUGCUCGCCAUCGCCAGAGUCUCCAUCGCACCUGUACAUCGCCGUCCAGCAUUGCCCAAGCUGCCGUCGCUCGUUUUCGCCGAUCCCGCGCCCAACCGGUGACUGGAGCACCUCCGACCGAGCUUGGACAAUAGCCGGAGUUCCAAGCUAGAUCCGGAUCUUGAAGGUUCGUUUUGGAUGCCUUUCGAUCUUCUUUUGGUGUCGCCCCGAGGAGGUUUUUUGACCGCCUCGCCGUUGUGUUCACCAGGAACUCAUCAGAAAGCAAUUUCGGCGAGUUUAACCUCUUAAACCUUGAUUAGAGGGUUAAUGAUGCUUUAGGGAGGUUUAGUUUAAGUUAAUUGAGAUUAGGUUAUUAGUUUAGUUUGGUUAAGGCUAAAUUGAUGUUUAUGUUAGUAUAAUGAUGUUUUAGCUUUAAUUGAUUAUUUUUGAAUAAAUAAAUAUUUCGAAAUUAUUUAAUUAUUUAAUAAUAAUUUAUAUUAUUUACAAUUAUUAAAAAAUUAUUAUUUAAUUAAUUUCGGAAUAAAUUUAAUUAUUUAAUAAAUCCAAAAAUUAUUUCGAGACCUUAAAUUGUCAUAAUUUCGUGCUGAUUGCAGUGGUACUUUCUGUUUAUUUAUUUGAGUGUCGGUUUAUGAGAAUUGAGUGAAUUAGUGGUUAUGAGAGAAUUAUCCCAAAAUUUGAGAAUGUUGGUAUUUUAUGGGAAAAUGACUAUGAAAGAUUGUGAGUGGACUUAGAAAACCACUGAAGUAUGGUCAUGCCAAUAGGGCCGAGAUUUACCACCGAAUUUGGAAUCAAUUGUGCCCAUCAGGCCAUGAUCUACCACCUAUUAAAGGUCGUGCCGAGUGGGGCCGUGAUGCCACUAAUUCUAAAUUUGCCGAAUGGGGCCGUGAUUCCACUAACUCUAAGAAUUGCCGAGUGGGGCUGUGAUUACAACUAAAUUUAGAUUUGCCUGUAGGGCCGUGUUUAAGGGUCGAGAAUGAAAAGUUAGAAUGAUCGUGUGAUGACUUUGAUGACAUGUAAUUGAUUGAGUCGAUUGAUCGCUAAGUCGAUUCGAGUAAUUGAAUUGUUUGAAUUCUAUUACUGUAUAUGCUUGAGUAAUGUGAACUGUGCUAACUUGCAGGAAGGAACUGAGGCAAAGGUAAGUCUUAUUGUUUGUGAUGGUGUGGCUAGGCCAUACUCGAGUGUAUUUUCUUUCUAAUAGGCGUUUUGGGGGGGGGGGGGGGGGGUGAACUUACUGAGACAAUGUCUCACCUCGUCGUGGGCUCAACAUUUUUAGGUCCUUAGAUGGCGGUCAUGGAGGACUCGAAGCCAUAGACAUUUGUGGAGGUGGAGAUCGAAGAAUAGGCGAAUGUGUUUGACUAGUUGGUUGUAGGACAGUUCCUUUUUUGUUGAGCCGGUCUAUUUUGUAGCCAACCCUGUGUUGUAUAUAAACAUGUGUGUUUAUAAGAAAACCUAUUUGGUUGCGAUUGAUUGCUUGCUUUUCUAUCCCAAGUUAAAUGUUGUCAGGGGAUUUGUUUCGCUUUCGUAUGCAUAAAAUAAAUGAAUGGGUCGGCGACGCGUCCUAAGAAGUCGCAUUUUUUGUAUCAACUUGAGUGGGAUGUUUGCAUGCUCGAGGUUCGGGAUAUGACAAGAUGUCUGUUCUAUAACCUUCUUAGGCUGUCUAAAAAACUCAGGAGGAGUUGCCAUCUAUAGACCUGAAAGGUUAUCCCACAAUGAGGUGAGACGACGUCUCAACGAGUUCAACUUCCUAAGACUUGACUAGGAAGAAAAUAUGCCCUAAAGGCCGCCUAAGCAUAAACAUAGGUCGGAGAACUUACCAUUGCCCCAGUUCCUUCCUACAAGUCAGUAUUUUUCAUAGAUACACGAAUCACAUCAACUAAUCAUACGAAUUCAUCGAAUCAGAUCGAAACAUCGAUCAAUCGACUCAGUCGAUUACAUGUCAUCACAACAUUCUCUCGGUCGGCCAAAUCAAUACUAUCUAUGAAGUCUGAUCAUAAUUAGGACUGCUCUCUCUAAGCUGAUAAAUAGAUAGUAUAAUUUGCGCUAAGCUGAUAACUAAUAUACUGCUCUUUAUCUAAGCUGACAUAUCAAGGCCCUCAGGCUGAUAUAAUAUACUAACGUUGUUCACUCUAAGCUGAUAGAUAACAUUGCUCAUUCUAAGUUGAUAAGUAGCAUUGCUCACUCUAAGUUGAUAAAUAACAUUACUCACUCUAAGUUGAUAAAUAAUAUUGCUCACUCUAAGUUGAUAUGGUAUACUACUCUCGAUCUAAGCUGAUAUAUCAGAGCCCGUGGGUUGAAAUAGUAUACCACCUUGACCAUCUAUUCAAUUUACCAUUUUAAUCAUACCCGAUAAAAAUACUCGUGUGUGGGUACACGGUCGACUUUAACCAAAAUACAAUAUUUUUACUUUUGAACAUUCCGCCAAUCGGCAGUCCCAAAAUAGAUUUUUGGCGCUAUAGACUAACGUUCGGUAAUUUUCCAAUUAAUUACCAAAAUUAUCAAUUUUUAAGAUAAAUACCUGCAAUCACCAAUCACAUUUAAUUUACACAAAAUAACAAUCAAUAAAAUAAAUAGAUCACACCACUGUAAUUAGCAUGAAAUUCCGGUCACCGACUAUCCCGGUCUAAUUUCCAAAAAAUAAUUAAUUAAUUAAAUAAUUACGAAAAAUGAUUAUUAAAUGCCAAAAAUAACAACUUAGGCCAGAAAAGCCGAGACGGGCUUGGAAAGUUUUCGAAACUGCUCUAGAUAAAUACUAGAGCUUGUCUAGGCUCUAAUUACACUAUUUUAACCACCUAAAAUGCAAUAACAAUUCAUUAAAUUGCUAAUCUAGUCUAAUUAUUCACUUAAUCCAUACUUAGUCUAAACUAAUCAACCCUUAAACGUCAUUAAAUUACUAAGCAAGGAUUAGUGAGUUAAACUCACUUGUUAAGUGAUCUGCUCGGAUCAAAACGAUGAGGACACAGCAAGGGGCGAGAAACACCAAAGUGGGACCGCAUUUUGAGGUCCAGAAAGGCUUGAACUCAGGCCCGACAGCAACUUGGAGACCCACUAGACUCUGCUUCUAUUCUUGGCCGAAGAGGGGUUGCUUCGGUGGUUGAACUGCGAAACAAGAGCGGCGGAGGUAGUAGGGGUGCUCGGUGGGGCUUCACGGUGGUAGGCAGGUGACCUAGUAGCUUCGGCAACAAUGGAGCAAGUUUGAACAGCUCUAGAGGUGGCAUGGGCUCAUGGCUAAGGUGGAAUGAUGGCAUGGAAUGACAAAGAUGCAUGCGGGCAGGGCGAACGCGCGACGGCCAACGACGGCGACUUAGCGAGUUGACGGAGGAUGGACAGGCGUGCAAUGGCCUCGGCGGCUUGCUGGCUCUGCUUUCUAGUUUCUGGGCUUCAAACAGCAGCUGAGAUGGAGUGCUCGAUGGGUGAGAGGAGAGAGAGGAAGGAGGGAACCGGUUUUGGCAUGGAUGGGCCACUAAUGACCUCAUCUCAUCUCUUUGUACCCCCUCCUUUGGUCCCCACCACCAGCUGGCCUCCACAGCUGUAUUUCCAAACCAAAAUGCCCACUUCUAGAAGCUUGAGUUGGUCCAAAGGUUGGGUCCAUGGGGGCACACGUAUUUCACUUGAUUUCUCUCCAAUUGGACUUUAAUUCCCUUUUGAAUCAAAUCAAUUUGGCCUCUAAAAAUUCAACCAACAAGCUCACAAUCAAAUUGGUAUUUUUUCUCGCCAAUUGAUCCCACUUGCAUUCCAAUUUCACGAUAAAAAACGGUCAUCUACACUUUCUAAUCGAAAAUGGCCUUAUGACGACUUUUUUCACCAAAAUCUCAGCUUACAGAAAAAUCUUUAGAGACUAAGUCAACAUUCCUAAAAUGACUUGUUAUAUGACAAAACUUUCAAUUUUUGAAAUCGGAUUUAAAUUUAUGGUUAAUUUCAAUCUGGCACAUUUUUAGCGUAACUUAGGCUACCGGGUAGCUUUUAGAAUUUUUUUAGUGCAAAUGACCCGUGAUCUAUUUUUUUUUUCGAACCACAAUGAACCUAUUUGACACAUUAGCGACUCUCGGUUGUCGUAAAAAUCUCGAUGUUUCAAAUACGAACACAUGGUACCAAAGCAACAGAAAAAUUAGUUUAGUGCCAAUCAAUGAGGAUUUUGCAAUUUAGUGGAAUCACCCACGUUUAACCACACAUCUCAAUCGAAUCGACCUAUCCUUGAUCUCUAAGUGAUUUUUAACUGUGCCGUAAUGAUCUGUGUAGAUGAGCACGGUUGAAUAGUUGAUUCUUGAUCGAAUCCUCAAGUCUAUUUCAUUAAAAUCUCUUAAUGACUUCCCCAGAUUGUCCAGUUAUCUCAAAAGUGAUCAGCUUUAAGAAUAGCACUAUAGGCGCGUCGAUGAAAAGCCUAAAUUGAAAACAAAGUGAAAUUUCAGGAUGUCACAAAAAGAGUGUUUGUUUGUGAAUCUGUUUUUCUUGCUUUUCUAUCCCAAGCUGUUUACUGUUAGGGGAUUUAAUUAUUCGCUUCCACAUGUGUAUUAAAAUGAAUGAGUCGGCAACGCGUCUUGGAAAGUUGCAAAAUUUUAUCGACCACUGAGGAAUGGGCAUGUGCUCGAGGUUCGGGGUGUAACAAGUGUAAUAGGUUUAUAACUUUUUGGGUAAUUUUCCACAACAAUAUAUCUACUGUACAAACAUUUGGUCGUUUGGUUUAGUUUUGGGGAUAGUGUAUGGGAAAAUGUAAAGGUUUUUAGGCUAAAAGGGUUUUUCGAAAUGCAAGUGGUGCUUGGUAAAGUGUAUUUUAAAAAAUACAUUGGAAAACAAAUUUUGACGUAAGUGUCGUUUGGUAAAACUACACUUUGUAAAAGAUUUUGGGCAAUUUUUUUUUUUUAAAUAAAAAACUUCAAACUAUUUGCUAGUAGAACUCAACUAACCUUGGUGAACUAAAUCAGCCACUGGUCAUUUGUCGGCCACAAACCGGCCACUCGCCAGUUGUUUAUUGAUGGCCAGGCAAUGUUAGAGACUUUGAACACAUUUCUAGAAUUAUGAAAUCGAGUAAGUUAAAGUUGGAAGAAAUUUAUAUUCCAAAAAUACAACAUUUCAAAUAAUCUCUGAACCUGCCUAUGCCUUUAGAUAGCUUUGGAGAUGCAAUUGCAUAUCCCCAAAGCAGCCUAAAUUGUUUUUGCCAAAUGGCAUUUACAUUUGCCGAAGGGACUUUGGGGUGUCAAAGAUUGAAAAUUUUGAACCAAAUGUACCCAUUGAAAUACUCUCAAAUUCACUAUUCUCGAACUCCUAGUACUAAUUUCUCUUCUAUCUAUCUGUAGCUACUAUGGUGAGAUAGUAAUCUAGAAGUCCAUAGACGAUGUCCUCUUUCUCUCCGUGACCUACCUAGCUCAUAACCAUAAUAGGGUCAUUGACUUCAAGCGGCUUCUACUUCCAACUCACUAUGAGAACGUGGUAGACUAUGGCUGCACAUGACAAAAUUUCUGAAACAUAAAUUGAUUUCUAGCUAGAAAUCAAUUUCUUAAUUUCUAUUCCCCGGACAAGUUUCUGAGCAAAGAAACCCGUUUGAUAACAACUCAAAAUUUCUAUUUCUGAAACAGAAAUCCGUUUGAUAACAGAAUAAAAUUUAUAUUUCUAGGAAUAGAAAUUAAUUAGAUAACAACAUAGGAAAUCCUCAAAUACAAAAUAAUAGUCGAAAUAAUACUAAAACAACAUAGGAAAUCCUCAAAUACAAAAUAAUAGUCGAAAUAAUACUAAUACAUUACAAAAGUUGAAAAUACAAUUUCAUGAAAUUUCUGGCAUAUUAUUAUCCCUUGUCAUUUUAUUAGCAAUUGUUUUCCUAAGCGUAUUUAUUUGGUUUCCCUCCUCGGUUAAUGUAUCGUUUGCAAGCUCAUCCUACGUAGGUUCAGAUAAGUACUACGGAAGCAUGAAUAUGAGUGCCAUCAAUGGCGCCUAUACAGCUUUGUCAUUUUAUCAAAAACUAAUAUUAUACAAUAUUAUCAACAAAAUAAAAUUAAUGGUGUAAAGGAAUAUAUGAGAAUUCUACCUUAAAGUAACAUUUAUGGUUAGGAACCAAUCGGGGGAAGGUCGGUUUAUUUUGAUUCUUGAAUUGAAUCAGUCCAGUUGCUCAUUCCUAAUUUCUUUAUUGUUGCUCAAUGAACCUUUAAUGGCUCUUGCAUAGAAAAGAGAGAGAUUCUCUUGAAUCUCUUGCCUUCGAAUUAAAAUUCAAGAUUGUCUAACAAUCUAAUUAUUUUGAUUUUGCAAGAAUUUUGAAUUCGUCAAAAAAAAAAAAAAGGUUAAAUUUAUAGGCACGUUUUUAUUCAUCUAUUAUGUAAGAAAUUUUUCUUCAACUGGCCAUAUGCGUGCUUUUUCUAGAAGGAAAGAGCCCCAUUGUUUUUUCUUGUUUUUUUUUUUUUUUGGUAAAAAGAAAAUAGCCCCAUUGUUUUUAAGUAAGCAUUAAGAACUUUGGUCAUUUUUUAAAAUUGGGGACUCAUUCGAUUACCUUUCAUCCUAAAAAGGAAGUUAUCAAAAAAAUUGAAAAAAGAAAAAGAAAAAAAAACACAAGCAAAAUAAGAAAAAGAAAAUUAGCAAUAAUUUGUGUAGUUGUGGUUAUGAGUGAAUUAAGUUAGUAAGAAAGCGCAAGGUUCUUUUAUAUGGUUUGAUUUCAGUUUCUGAUUUCUAUUUCAGAAAUUGAGAAGUUAAAAAUUUCAGCUUCUGAUUUCUUCAAUUUCUCUAUCUCUGGAAUAGAAAUCUGUUUCAGAAAUAGAGAAAUCAAAUUGCGUUACCAAACGGAUUUCUGUUUCAAACAUGUUCCGGGGAAUAAAGAAACAGAGAAAUCGAGAAACAGAAAUUUUGUCAUGCGCGCCCUAUACUGUUGUAUCAAAAAAUAUUUCCAUGUCAGUGUAUGUCCCAUUAUUAUUAUUAUUAUUAUUAUUAUUAUUAUUAUUAUUAUUAUUAUUAUUAUUAUUAUUAUUAUUAUUAUUUCAACACUCAAGUUAGGAACGUGCUAGUACGCAGAAAUGAAAAAUAUAAUCAACGUGCAGUAUCUAUUAUAUUCAAAUAUAUAAUAUAUAAUUGCUUGAUAUUCCAAGUUCAAUCAAAAUUAAUGAUAAUACGAAUAGGUAGUGCUGCUAAUUAAUCCUUCAAAUAACAUCAGGUUCUACAAACCCACCAGAGUUAGCGUAAUUGAUUGUCGCAUAAGGGCGAUUUCCAGAUCAGAAAUUAGAAGUGAUGUAUUUAAAUUACAAUUACUGCGUGCAAAUAGCUUUAGGUUGAGAUCACCUCCACAGAUCAAAGAUUUGGACUUAAUUGGGUUCAUAGGCUUACAAGGUUUCCUCGAAUCUCCAGGUUUUUGGCUCUCUUCAUGAUCCUGGAUUAUUAGAAAAAUAAUGGGCUACAUCUAUCUAAGUGAGGAAGACACAUAUAGCCUGGUAAGUAUUGCAUGUACCAAUUGGUAUAUGAUACAUAUAACUAGCGGAUGGGGGAAAUGAUACAUUUGUUAUCAUAAUGUUAUCUCCGUACUUUAAAAUGUGGUUUGAUAUGGUCUAUUCAUUAGAAUGAUUAGGGAAAUCUCCUGACAUGGACGAAACAUUCCAUUCAGUUUACGAUUUAUCAUAGUUUUUGUUCAAUUUUGUUCCCAUACUUUUUUUAUUUGUUCAAUUUAGUCCACAAGUUAUUUUUUAUUCUCUCUAUAUUGCAAAAUGUCAAAUUUAGAUUUUACCCCAACACAAACAGUUUAUUAAUUACUUCAAAUUUAAAUAUAAUCCCAACACAAAAAAAAAUUAUUAAUUAUGUCAUGACACUAAAUCCCAAAUACAACACAUACAUUUAAUUGAUUAUCCAAUUCAAAGCAUUUAAAAUAUGAUAGAUAAAGAUGCUUGUGUUUACAAGUUGCAAGUAUAUCUAAAUGAGCCAUGCUUUUUUCACUCCUUUGAUUUAGACACUCCAUUUUUUGUGUUUUGACCAUAUUUUCCCUUAUGUGGUCCACUAUUUUUGUCACAACUUUAAAAAUAUGAUCCUUUUUUUUUUAUCAACUUUUUAUUUAUUUAUUUAUUUUGUUUCUUCUUUUUUCCUUACAAGUCUCACUUUCCUCUUUCUUUCUUUCCAUGCCUUCGAUGAUGUCUCAGUUCUCGGCUCUUGUCAAUCAUCUCUCUUUUUUUUUUUUUUUUUUUCUUGCAGGUCACUCUCUUCUUUCUACAUUUUACUAAUCCUCAAGUUGUAACACAUUGAGAAUGAUGCCAAUCCCGUUGUUCUCUACACUUUUGCUGGCACCGACAUUGGGGCCACUGUUCACCUCCCCAGUGAGAAUUUUCUCUAAUGCUUCCAUAAAAUCAUGUAUGAUAUGAUCAUGAAGCAAAAAAUAUAAUUCGCUCUAUAAACUUGAAGGGAGUUUUGUAGUUUGUUACCAUUAAAUAUUUUUACAGUUGAUUGCCUAGUUCAUAUUAGAAUUGAAAAUCAUAUGUCUAUAGGGUUUUUGUUGUUUUCUCUACUGCUCCUUUUAUAGCUAUUAAGAGUCGAAUUCAUGGUUGUUGGCAGUUUUAUUUAAUAUCUAUGGGAAGGCUCCAACGAACUGAUUCAAUUUGUCCUAAUAGAGCAUGUUCUCGAGAGCUUUUGUCUCUCAUAUUCCUUGAUUUUCCUGUGUCUCAUUUGUCUAGAUAGUAACCAUGGUUUGGAUCGCAUUCCAUCUUCAAAAAUCUAAAGAUGCUUGUAGCUAAAAUCUGAAGACUGGUUUUUCUAUUGGUCUUAUUGUCAUAGUUGACAACAAGAUGUUACCAUAAUUGACCCAAAUAUGAAAACCAAAAGUCAGAACUUUGCUCGGAGUGAGAUCCACUAGGAUCCUCUGUUCUCAUGAUGAAAGAAGAUAAUGGCCUACUAGAGAGAAAAUGGAGAGAGGAUUUGCAAGAGUCGAGAACUGAGAUGUUAAAUGUGUGGAAAUAAAGAAGAAGAAGGAAAGUGGGCCCACAAGAAAAAAGAAGUAACGAAAUAAAAAAAAGUUGAUCAAACAAAAAAGGGACCACUUUUGUAGAGCUAUAACAGAAGUGAUAGGAUAUACAAGGAUAAUCCGAUCAAAACACACAAAAUAAGGGAUUGUCUAACUUAAAGGAGGAGUGGCAAAAGCACCGCUCUUUCUAAACGUAUCUAAACGUGUCGUGUUACACACAAGGAACAUUAUUGAACAAGUCCUAAUGUGUCAUAAACGGUAAAAGGAUCCAUUUAUAGUAAAAAUAUUUAUUCUUCAUCAGGAUUAACCUUAUGUGAACACAUUAAUGUGUGUCAAAAAGUUGUUUUCAAAAUUACGAUUCCUAAAUAAGGGUCAUUAAGGUUUUUUUUUUUAAAGAAUAUUUGAUGACCCUCACUAUGUUCAAAUUGAGGCUAUUAUUAAAGAGAACAACUAGUUUAAGGACGGAAUUUAAAGGACAUAUGAAGUUAAAGGAUGGAAUUGAACAAAAAGUAGACAAGUUCAUAGCUCUAAUGACCAUCUUAGCAAGUUUCAUUAAAUCUUUAAGGAAAGGAGCACAUUGAACAAAAAUUGGAAAGUUCAGAAAUAAUAUUGAAUGAAAAAACUUCAGACAUUGAAUAAUUUAGCAAACCUGAAGGACUAAUGUUACCCUUAGUGGAUUAUAGAUAUGUUAUGUCUUUCAUAUUGAAAUUUUCAAAUGAUGUUAUAGAGGCCAACCGCAUCAAACUGACGAUAUACAUGUUAAAUGAAAGCUAUUAGCAACUCAUAGUUUUUAUUUUUGUUUCAUAAUAUUCACAAGGAAAUUAGAGCUGCGCAAUUGCCGAAUGCCGAAAUCUGAGUCAUAUUAUAGCCCAGAGAAUGGGACUCUAGUAUAAUUUGAUGAGUUGUGCUUGCAUAACGUUGCAAAUUGAACCCUCUAUUGCGUUCCAUUCACAAUGGGCAACCGAAUCACUAAAAAUUCAUUGAUUCAGCAUGUGUAUAAUUUUUAAAGAAACAAAUCCACUGACAUUACUCGAUAAAAAUAAAUCCAUGAAGUAAUCGACCAUAGAUUUUAGGGGUGGAACAUUGACCAAAAUUAAAUAAAUUAUACUUACGAAUUUAUAAAUAAUGUAGAUACACUGUUCAAUUUUUUUUCAAAGAUUUUUCACCGUACGGUCGGUUAUGGACUUGAGUUUCCACGGCAUCACUUUGUCACUUCGUUACGGUCGUCGCUCUAGACAGCAAGCUUUCAACCGCAUAAUUAUUGCAUCCAGCCGUCGUUUCGCACCCCAUUAAAGAGAUUGUCGCCAGAGAAUCUCCACCUCUUUAUUUUCGAUGGUGAAAUGAUGCCCCCCACGGCCGUUGUCACUACAUACGUGCCACAAUUUUCGGGCUUCGAUGCCAACUAACGCAUGGAAAAAAUAAAGGCAUGUGUGAACUCAUAGACGAAACUCGCAAAACGUACAUGCACCGGUAGAUAAAGGGAGCUGUCAGGCUUUCGAUAAAUUCAAUGAUAAUCUGAAAAAGAUCACAUCAUGUAAUAAAGAUUCUGAAAUUUCUCCAAUAAUAGAUGAAAAAUAAAUUGUGGUAGUCGCCGCUCCACAUGUCCAAUUUUGUUCAUGAGUACUAGCAAUUGGGCUCUUAUGUUUUUGUAUUGUGCAUGAAAUUGACAUUUAGUUUAUCAUGAAAUAUUUGGAUCAAUAAAUAAUUCAAAGAAACUAGUGAUAAGAAUAGACUGCACUAAUAUGUGGAAAGGUAAAAACAUUUUAAGAUGUGACAUCUUUUAAGGAAAGUUAUGCAAGAUAGAAUAUAUCCAAAUUUUAACAUUGAAAUACAUAGAAAAAUAAUAAUAUAUACUUACGUAUUUGUCCAGGUAUAAAAAUAUUUGUAAACAAAAUAAUUAAGAUAUUUGGAAAAGAGAAAAAUGAUUGAAAUCUCUUAAAAAAGGAGAUCCUCCUUACUUUAUAUAAAAGUAUAGAUGGAUAUAUUAUUUUGAGUCCCACUGGCCUAAAAACAAUAUUAUGCUGAGUUUAUGACGAAGCUCUUGUGAUCACAGAUCUUACACUAUGGUAGAUGGACAAAAUGGAUUGUGAAAAGGCUCGUGGGAUGACGGGUGUAUCUGAUGUUAAUCUGAUUUUUAUUGUUUCCUUUUUUUUUUCUUUUUUCUUUUUUAUCAAAACGAAUAGUAGGAUUUUGCUAGAUAACUCCAUCCCACCCAAACGGGUUUUUAAUACCGCAAGCAGAAAACCAGACAAAUUUACUAUAUGGCCUCAAUCAUAAAUUGUACGGUGGAAAGAAUAGUUCAUACUGAAUUUUUGUCACAAGAUUAAUAAAUCUGAGUCUGAUUAUAGCUUCGUUCUGGACUUGGUUUCAGUUUGGAUUGUGUCAGAGUGGGCAAGACUUAUAGAACAAAUAGACUUUGACAAGAGUCUAUGAUAUGACUUCAGAAGUCUUCUAUUAUUCAGAAUAAGAACAAGAACAAUAAAGUUUUGUCAACUUUAAAACCUGGUAGGAGUUUUAUCAACAAUCUCCAUCUUUUUUAUGGUGAGAAAGCUUUCAUGUAUAUUUAAGCAUAAUAUAAAAGUUAUCCUACAAAACAAAACUUUAGCAGCACAUGAUAAUUGAUAAAGAUAAUAGAUAGUAAGCACAAUAAAGUCUGCAUAAAUCUGCACAAAAUACACAUAGUCUGUACUCACAAGAAACACACCAACCAAUAGUCUGCAUAAAAUACACAUAUUGGAAUGUGUCUCUAAGCCCCCGUAUAUUUACACUAUGAUAACCAGGCUAUCUUCCACAUUGCUGCCAAUCUAGAUUUUCACGAGCAAAUAAAAUACAUUGAAAUUGAUUGUCAUCUCGUUCGUUAAAAAAUUCAAGCCAUGCUCAUUUUUCCAUUGAAGAUUGGUACGGACUCACAACUAGCUAACAGUUUACCAAACCACUAGGCCAAGAUCAGUACAUGUGGCUAACUACUUUCCAAGUUCGGUGUCCAUAUCUCACAUGCAGUAACUUUAGGGGGAGGCUUGGCGUGAUCAUAUGCCACCAGGGCAUACUUAUUUUAUGAGUAGUUUUAUAUAGGAAUAGAUUUAGGAAAUAUAGUUGUGAAUGGUGUAUAAAUAUGUACAUUUAAAAUACAAGAAAUAUUGAAUCGAUUUACAUUGGCAUCUUGCAUUUUGUAUCCUUUCUCAUGAUACCACCCCCAUCACUUGCUGCCAAUUUCAGUUCAGUCAGGAAAACUAACAGGUUGAGAGUGAAUGGCUUCCACAUAUUUCCCCAUGUUGUCCCGACGGAUUAAUGCGGAACCUAUGGAGGAAGCCAAGAUGUCAUACAUUUUGGACCGUUUGAUUUUGUGGUCCAUAUCUUCGCCGUCAAACAUUGAUGUCACUGACACCAAUCGUAUCAGCUUCUAUUCAACUUCAAAAAAUGCGUAAAUCUCCUCUUCCGAAAUCAAAUCCAUCAUUUUCUUCUCCUUCGAAGCCUCUUCUACUGCGAUAGAACGGUUGGCUCGAGCACUCAGCCAACAUUGUUGUUCCCACACCUGACCUUCAUCUUAGGCGCACUAAUCGCCUUCUGCCUCUUGGUGUAGAUUCACUAUGCCACCCAGGACUUCCAUCCCGAAGAUCCCCACGACCUCCAGCGCUGCGGGGGGUGAGGGCAAGAUCCUGAAUGACCUCCAGGGGAAAUACCAAAUUCUAGGCAACUCUACCUAGACUGUCCUGACUGCGGGGGGUUGACUUGCACUAUCUAAGCCGGCUACAAAGGCGUCUACGUAGAGCAUCUUAAGAUUUGCCUCUCAUUUAUAAAGAUAAUAGAGAGGAAAAGUGAAAAAAGAGAAUUUGAGAUUCAAGGUUUUAUUCUAGUUUAUCCUUAAACUAAAGCUACUUUAGCUGAGCAAUCCACUAUAUAUAUAUCCAGUUAUUAUUCAUGAGCCUAAAUUCAAGUUAUGAAUAAAAAAAUGAAUUCAAACUAUAAAAGUCCACUGACGUCGCGAGAGCACUGCCCCCUUACGAUUCUCUUGCCAUUCUGUCAACAAGGAGUAAGGACCAUACCCCAAUAGCUGCCGGAAUUGAGUUUCUAUACCUUUCACAUCUAGGUGACAUGUUCUGUGCUAGUUAAUCUUUUGCCGGGUCAACUUACCCCUAAUGCCAUUUGAUUCAUAAUAGGCUUCAUUCUUGUCUUCCACCAGGCCAACAAAGUGUACUCCAUGGCGGUCUUUAUGAACAUCUGUAGACUGACUCAGGUGGCCGGUGAAAGAGGCCGAUGGCAGUUCUCUCCUUGGCACCACAGGGCCCCUUUCAUCUCUAAGUAUUCUUCCUCCGAUUUCGAGGAAGAAAUGGCUACACUUGGAAUCUCCUUGGGCAAUGGGGGUCUCGGUGGAGUUCUUUGUCUUCAAUGAGCACAUCCCCGUGUUAAAACAUUAACUUGCAUCCCUGCCGCUUUCAGAUUCGUAUAAACCUAGGUCCUCUCGUCUCCCUCAACAACCUCCUCCAUAAACCCCAACCCACCUUGAAACCACGACCUGUUGUAACACAUCGAAGUUCAAGACAGAAGAAGAACAGAGAAUUUUCCAGUGCUUCUGCAAUGGAUACGUUUUUAGCAUCUAUGUGGAAACGGUAAGUCCCACCAUCAAGAUUCAAGACUAAGCGACUCAAGCGUCGGAUAUGAUUAGCUGAAAUAGAGAGAGUAUGGUGCGACAUUUUUAACAUGCUGAGAUUCUCACCAACUCUCCAGUCCACCAAACAAAAUAGGGAAAAAGAUCGCGAAACCUAUAAAUAAAAAAAUUGUCCAAAAACAACGAGCUUCAACGUAAUGCCCAAACGAAGGUUAUAUUAAAGACAUAUGACCAAAGUAUUCUCUAUAAAUUUCAAAGAAAACAACAAGCAAGCACUGCAUUUAGCUGCUGACACCAUAGAUGAUUCACAGACAAGCCUCUCUGACCUCGUCCACGAAGGCCCUGAGGUUCAUGUCCGUAGAAUCCGCCUUCCUUCACAGCCUCCCUUGCCAAAUCUCUUAAUUUCUGGGCAUUCCUUCUCCCCUCAUCUCCCUCCUCUCCAUCUCCCAUCACCGACUCCAAGCACCUACUUUUCUCGCCGCCUUCCACCAGGCUGCCUUAGCUCGUUUGGUGUCACCUUCACUCCGGUCCUCCAUACGUCUGCAACAAGCUUCGCAUUUAUCUGCUGAUCGCUCCACUGCGGAAAUGUCAAUAAUGGCAACCCAAAGACCAAGCUUUCCUAGGUCGAUUAAAUUCCAACACAUUUUGUGUUUGUACGGUCCUGUUAAAAUCGAAGCCAUUGGUUCCUUUCAUUUAUGAUAUUUUCUAUUCAGAAUUUAUACAAAAAUCCGGUUUCCUUAAAUUAAAUAAUCCAAAAAACAACUCUUGGUGAAAGAUAUUUUGUUAUGAGAAAAAAUUUCAAUGGAACAUUCACAAUUUUUUAAAUCAAAAUGGAGCUGCACAAUCGCUAAACUUACGACAUUUGAGUUAUGUUACAACUUACAACCUAGAGAAGGGGACUUUGUAGUAUGAUUUGCUCCUCUCUCGUUUCUCAUCUUAAAAAAUAUGCCGCCUGUACCUACUUCUUUAUGCUUAGAACCUACGCAAUUUAUCACCACUAACUCCCAGGGUCCUUCCUCCCCAGCCCCUCAAUCACAAGCACACGGGAACUCCUCCCAUGCCAUCGUUUACCGUCCGUCGUCGAUCCUGCUGCUACCAUCAUCUCUGCUUUCUAUCUCUCCCUUGCUCUUGAAAAGAAAUUAUAUAGAAUAUUCACAUGAUCAAUGGUUACGAUAGUGUUAAUAUUAACCAAUCAAUUUUUAAUCAUCAAGCAAACUCAUUUCUGAAGUAAUGAGUCUAACAUUGACAAAUGAAGAAUAAUACUAUAUAUAAAUAUUUAAAUUUAUUUGUCUCAACGAGGAUGAUUACACACACCUAAUUUUUUACCAACUUUUGAUUAUGAGUCACCGUAGUCAAGAUUUCGACUGACUUGCUCUGGAAAAGCUUUCCUACAACACCCCAUUUGAUUAAAUCGGAUGGUGAGAUCACUGAAUAUUGCAAUUUUUAAUUGCGACUGUCCGAUCUAGAUGGGGUUGGAAAUACAUCAUUUCUGCAAAUCGCUUAAUGAGAUCAUGUUAAUAUGGUCGUGAGCUUUCCAAUGCCUUGAGAAUCAAUCGAUUAGGGUUUCUUGAGGUAGAUAUCAUGCUUUUUCCAUUUCAAUCAUCGAAAUAGAUGUUAUAUAUAUUUGUGGAUGCGUUGGGUCAUAUGAAUAUUCGCGAAGAGUAGUAGGUAUCUGAUAAGCAAUCCACACUUACCAAGAAAAGGUCGAUCUAUUUAUAAAAUUAUCUUUUACUUCAUAUGACAAUGGUUUAGAGUAAUUGAUACAUACAAACUGAGUGACUGGCAGAAAAUAAUUGAUAGUCCAUCUCAAAGAGUUUCUAUGAAACUAGUUACUAGGAGCGCACAUGACAACAUUUUUAUUUUUCGAUUUCUUUGUUUUUUUGUUCCCUGGAACAAGUUUGGAACAGAAAUCCGUUUGGUAACACAAUUUAAUUUUUUUAUUUCUAAAACAAAAUUUUAUUUUAGAAAUAGAUUUGUAGUAGAAAUCAAAAGUUAAAAUUUUUAGUUUUUCUAUUUCUGGAACAAAAAUGAGAAAUCAAAAUUUUUUUCAUCGUUCACUCUCGUCACCACCCAUCGCCCACUAGCCGUCCGUGGGACGCUGAACGCCCACCACUCGCCGUCGCUCGCUGACCGCUGCCCACCGGACUUCGGCCGCCCGUCAUCGACCAUCCGCCAUCGGAUGCCCAUCGGUCGUUGGUUGCUCAUCACCAACCAUUGGACGCCGCAGGCCAACCGCCAACCACCAGACAUUGCCACCCGCCGUGUGUCACUUGCCACCGGUUGUUGGAUGUCGGCCGCCCGCCGCCGCUUGUUGGACUUUGGCCAUUGGCCACUGGCUGCCGGCUAUCAGACUCUGGACAUCGAACGCAGGACUUCGAAUGUUGGAUGCCGGUCGCCGGCUAGUCGAAUGCCAGACGCUGAACUCCGAACGUCGAAUACUGGAUGCCGGUCACCAACCACCAGACGCAAAAUAUCGGACUUCGAACGUUGGACGUUGGAUUUCGGCCACUCGCCAUUGAUUGCCAAACAUCGAACUCAAACCAUUGGACGCCGAUUGUUGCUGCUCCUAGAAAUAGAAAUUUAAUUCUUUUACCAAACGAAUUUUUAUUUUAGAAAUAGAAAUUUUGCAUCAUUAUCAAAUGCGUUUCUUUGCUUAGAAACUUGUCCAUGAAAUAGAAAUUAAGAAAUCAAUUUCUAUUUCAUAAAUUUUGUCAUGCACUAGUCAUCCCAAUAAUUGAUAAGAUCAUGCAAAUUUGAUAGUGAGCUUUGUAACGUUUUGAGAAUCACUUCCAUCAGAGUUUCUCUUCGCUAAACCAAAAAAGCAAUCAAUCUAUUUAGAAAAUUAUUAUUUACUAAAUAUAUCCGGGGUUCAGUAUAAUAAAGAUGCAUGUACAAACUAAAUGAUCGACAGACAAUUAUUGAUAGUCCAUCUCAAAGAGUUUAUGCAAAAACUAGUUAUUGGGUAUCUCAUUAUUAUUAUUCUCGUUCCCGAUUCUUUAAGUGAAUUUAUAAUUUGUUAAGGAUACAUCAUUGUACAUUGCCAGGAUAAGUGGGGACUUGUCCUACCACAGAUGGGAAAAUUAUCAAGAAAAAGUUGCCCGUAUGACGAGUUAAGUUGGGUGUCUCCAUCAACCAGAUGCAACCAAGAAGAACACGGAUGACGUGCCAAUUUUUUUAAUCUUUUACUUGAGAAGAAGACUAAUCUCUCUCACAUACCUACUGGUAGGAUUUUGAACAAAUGGCUCAAUCCACCAUCUGCCAUUGACUGGAGGAUGAGCUCUUCGCCCAGCAAAGACGGUCGGAGCCGGGAAUUACACAAGGCGGGGUGAGAUUCAAAAGGAAAAUUAACUUUUCAUGACGAGAUUACCCAUUAAGUUUCUGGGAUUAGUUAAAUCAUUGCAGCAAGUUUCGGAGGAUUUUUUGCAUUUAUGGAAUCUAAUGAAAUAGCUCCGGCAUUUGCACAUGUAGUUAUGAUAACAUACGGUGAAUUUGUGGACUGUAAACUUGAAUGAGAAAAAUAAGUAAAGUAUAACCACAGCUAAAAUUAGCGAGGAGGAUUAAAUUGGCAUAUCAUUAAGAGGUUUAUAACCAAAUUGGCAUUAUUGAAAAAUUUAGAAUUAAAUUGACAAAUUUUCAAAAGAUUUAAGAUUAAAUUAGUAUGAUUAGAAGGUUUAUAACUGAAUUAGUACUGUACAAUAAUUUUAGAACUUUUUGGACAAUUUUCCUAGAAAAAAAAAAGUAACUAUGUAAAUUGUCGAGUGGGUUCCGAUCAUGCAUCUUUUAUCACUUCCACAAUUAGAACACUAUAAUUCUCUCAAUCAUUUCGACCCCCAAAAAAAAAAAGAAAAAUCUUAAUUUUGAAUCUUAUGUACAUGUAGGGGUCUAUUUCCACGGCCCACACAACCUAAUACCAGCUCCUAUGAACCCCCACGCCUGCUCUUGGUCCUCGACAGGCCUUUUGCUUAUACUGACUAUCUCGUCACCCUCGCCGGCACCGGGCUGAGUGAGGCAUGAAUGCUUUAACAUAUGCCAUAAACCCCAGCUCCCGUCGAGACCACAACCUCUCGUUCCCCGUCAAAGUUUGAGACGGAAGAAGAUAAGACGAUCGAGUAUUUCAUACCUAACUGCUACUAAGAUGGACGAUUGAAAAGAAUCAAGACACCGUAAUCCUUCUGUCGUUAAGAAAUGUUUUCACCAUCAGCGGAGAGGUCCCACCAUCAAAGAUUCAAGACUUAGCAACGGAAGCGUCAUAUAUGACGGGCUGAAAUAGAAGGAAUACGGUGCGACGCUUUUUAACAUGCUGAUGUUUCUCACGAACACCAUACACUACAGAAGGGGAAAAGGAAGAAAACAGAGAAAAUGACGCCUAGACUUUAUGCCCAAACGAAGGAUUACAUAAUAGCCAUAAUAUUUAUUUACUAAAAGUCCCCAGACAUGGAAGCGCCACGUUAACUGGUGACAGAGACACCACAGACGAUUCACUCACUCAGCCGCUUCUCUGACCUCGUCCACGAAGGCCCUGAGGUUCUUGUCCGAUGACCCGCCUUCCUUCACGGCCUCCCUCGCCAGAUCCCUAAAUUUCUUGGCAUUCCUUCUCAUCUCAUUCCCCUCCUCUCCAUCUCCCACCACCAGGUCCAAGCACCUCUUCACCUCGCUGCUCUCCACCAGGCCUAGCUCGUUGGGCGUCAACUUCACCCCGGUCCUCCACACGUCCGCCAGGAGCUUCGCGUUCGUUUGCUGAUCGCUCCACUGCGGGAACGCCACCACGGGCACCCCGCAGACCAAGCUCUCUGACGUGGAGUUCCACCCGCAGUGCGUCAGGAAGCACCCCACUGAAGGGUGGGAUAGGACCGCCACUUGCGAGCACCACGGCACUAUCAUCCCUAGCUUAUCUAGUUCUUCUUGGAAGCUCAAUCUAUCCUCGUCUCUCUCUUCUUUCCCGCUUUCCCGAAUGAUCCACAAGAACGGCCGGCCGACCUCUACGAGCGCCCGCGCCAUUUCCUCCUUCUGCGGCUUUGAUAGCACGGAGAUGCUCCCGAACGACAGGUAGAUCACCGACGCUUUUGGCUUGGUGUCCAGCCACUCCAUGUAGCCGCUCGAGCUCUUGAAGAGAUCACCUCCGAAGGAAGUGUCCGAUGGAUCUUGCCCGUCCAAAAACGCGGACGGUAUCAGGGGCCCAAUCCCAAUUACCUC